ACGGGAGGCAGCAGUGGGGAAUAUUGGACAAUGGGGGAAACCCUGAUCCAGCGACGCCGCGUGAGUGUAGAAGUAUUUCGGUAUGUAGAGCUCUAUCAGCAGAGAAGAUAAUGACGGUACCUGACUAAGAAGCCCCGGCUAACUACGUGCCAGCAGCCGCGGUAAUACGUAGGGGGCAAGCGUUAUCCGGAUUUACUGGGUGUAAAGGGAGCGUAGACGGAAGGCCAAGUCUGAUGUGAAAACCCAGGGCUCAACCCUGGGACUGCAUUGGAAACUGGUCAUCUAGAGUGCAGGAGGGGUAAGCGGAAUUCCUAGUGUAGCGGUGAAAUGCGUAGAUAUUAGGAGGAACACCAGUGGCGAAGGCGGCUUACUGGACUGUAACUGACGUUGAGGCUCGAAAGCGUGGGGAGCAAACAGGAUUAGAUACCCUGGUA
Molecule: ribosomal RNA, 434 nt
Filed under: uncultured Clostridium sp.
Lineage: Bacteria; Bacillati; Bacillota; Clostridia; Eubacteriales; Clostridiaceae
Description: partial 16S ribosomal RNA
Rfam family: Bacterial small subunit ribosomal RNA
Source: RNAcentral